UCGUUCAGUUUUUGUUGGAAA
Molecule: non-coding RNA, 21 nt
Organism: Caenorhabditis elegans
Lineage: Eukaryota; Metazoa; Nematoda; Chromadorea; Rhabditida; Rhabditidae
Source: Ensembl